UGCGGGGUGCUGGCCCCACAGCCAAGUCUGUGCGAUGGGGCUGCGUUCUUUAGGUGUCCACACGGUGGCCUAGCGUUCAGGGAACAGUCCGCAGCGCUGGAAAGGGACAGAAACUAGGGAUCGUAGGAUGCGCCCUUAUGGCUUCCUUGGAGGAUCGCACGCUGCGAGGUGGAGAGGCUCAAGGACAGGACAAGGAGCAAGAAAGCUGGCCAAAUCACCUCGCGAGUUCCGCUGCACUUGACCGAGUCUGGAAACUGCGGGGUCUCUGGGUGGGCGGGGCCCCAGUGACAGCCUGGCUAGUGCCCAGAAUCAGGGUAGCCAGUCUCCAACUGCACUUUGGAACAGGACAGGGGGUGGGGCCAGUUGGCCCACUCAGGCCGGGUCUCGAGGCUGCAGAGGGCUGCUGGUCCUCCCGCCCAAGGUUGGUGAGUGGAUGGGAGAAGCCAAGUGGAGUCAGAGUGGACAUUUCUCCGUCUGAGUGCCCCAAGACCAGCUAUUGUAGGGACAAGACAGCGACAACCCAGAGCAGGCCCUGACAGACCUUCCAAACGGGGAGUAAGCUCCGCUCAUUUCUCAACUGCCCCAUAUACAACCCUUUCAGACUCCAAGAGAGGAAAGGUUGCAGCCCUGGCCCUGGGUUUUGGAAACCCUGCCUUUGAUAUUGGUCCUCUGAAUGGCCCUUCUAGAACCUCGCUAGCGCAAGGGAGUUAAUCCUUUCUGCACCAGCAGGCUGUUACCAUGGAGAAGAGUGGCAGGUAUUUGCUGUGCUACUUGUCACCAACUCCCCCAUACAGCUUCUUGAUCCCCCAAGGAGCCUGGCUUCCAGGUGACCUCUGCCUUCCUUGCUCCUUAGCGACACACAUCUUUGUUCUGGGGAUCUCGGAUCUGUCCCUGUUGAUCACGACUUUCAUGCCUGUGCUUUGUGGUCACCUCUCCUCUUCUGGCUUCCUCGGCCACAUUCAUGCAGCUCAACAGAAGGCAGGGAUGGGCUUAGGGCUGAGAGGCUGCCAGCCCUUCUCUACUUGGUCGCAAGGCACAGUGAGUUUACUGUCCCAGUACCUGUACUGUCUGGUUGAAAAGCUCAGUGCUAGGCUAGUGCCAGGAGGGGCCUGGAUUCCAGUUCUCGUUUGGAUGGUUCCCCCUGAGCCUGUCCUUUGUCCUUUUCUGCGGGCAGACUAUGGUGCCACCUCCUGUUUGCCCUGCCUAGGGAAAGGGGGAAGAAGGCAGAGGACAUUAAAUGGGGUGACAUUUAAAAUUAGAUGCUGACCCUGAAGUGCUAGAAUUCUAUUUCGGCUAAGUGGCUGUUGGGGGAAGGAAGGUGAUGAAAACCAGAGAUGCCCUCUAGCCUGCUGGUGUCUACAGGGGCCAGAAAUAGGAAAUGGUGUCUGGGGGGGGAGCAUUUCGAGCCAUAACCGGCAGGGAAACUGUGGCAGACCCCCAGCUGGGAGAGCCCAGGUCUCCCCUAUAUCUUAGACUUUGCUUGGGAGAACAGCAUGCUUGCUUGGAUUCCAACAGCUGCUCCCGUGUGCUUUUUGUUCGAGCGGGUUCUGGUCUGCCACGAGGCGAGUGGGUUACUUGUCACAGAGUUGGCCAGAUGGGAGGAGGCUGCGUUGUUUGGCAGAACAGCCACUGGAUGGGCUUUCUGAGGUGAGUCAUACAGGGAGCCAGUGCAGGCGAGGCUUGCCCUGAAAGGGUUCAACGUGGCCAGAGCCACACAAGAGAAAGGAGCUUUCUGAAGCCACUGUGAGUGCAGAGUAUGGAAGGCUUUCCCGGGUUCCCAGUUAGCUUUAAGGGGUGCCAAUAGGAAAGCUCAGGUUUGAGAACAGCAGAGACAAGCUGAACCAGACAGGCCCCACAGAAGCAGAGCUGGGGUAGAGGCCAGAAAGGGAGCCCGAAUUGGCAAGGGGCUCAGCUCAGUGUGACCCCAGGGAUCACAACAAUUCUCUCUUCAGAUCCUUGGCCAUCUGCUUCCAGAAAGGUAGACUAGCUAAUGGGAACAUGGUGCCAGAGGACACUGCUGAGGAGUGAGGGGGUAGUAUGCCCAGGACCACCACGAUGUCAGCUGCUGCAGGACACUGACUUGAGCCCCUUCUCCAGAAGCAGCCCCUUGAAGGUCAGCUCCACACAGAAAGACAACCUUGUUUACUCAUCUCACCAACCUCUUCCAGACAGGACUCUCCUGAGAGGUCCCUCUAGGCUUAAUCCAAGAAUAGAGGAGAGAGUGGCCACUUUAUUGGCCUUGGUUCUCCCAAAGAGCAGCUGUGGCUCCAAUUGGUCCAGCCUCUCCCAUGUCUACUUCUGCCCUGUAUAAGCUCUGGGACAGCAGUCCUGCCCACUGUCUGGGCAUUCUAUGGUCUUCAUGAACGGGGAAACAGGGCCUCUGAGGAAAGUCAAAGCAGCUGGACUUGGUACCACACAGACCAGCAGCUCUCUAGAGUCUCCUCCUCUGAGCCAAGCCCCUGGGUGUUCAGGCUGAGCUGAAGUUGUGGGGAGUGGGUAGAAGACAUGCAGGGUGCACUAGGUACCAUGUGCAGGAAGCAGAUGUGAGCGGAGAGGGCCAGGGAGCAGGGAAGAGGCCAGCACCCUGCUUUUUUUUUGUUUUUGUUCCUUUAGCUGCCAUGCCAAUUUGUGGGUGUGGGUCUUCUCCAGGGAAGCCAGCAGCCUAGGGGCAGCCUGCUGUUCUCCCAGGGUUCCUUUGGGUCUCAGAAGCCCCUUCCUAGGAUGUGUGGAAACGUUGAGCGCUACCUGAGACGCCAGGGACGGUGUCCAGCAUUAGCUUAGGGUGGGCUUUCCGAGGACAGCGUGCAUUUUCUGUAUUAUACUGUAUGUAUUAUUUGUGGUUUUGGUUUGACUCUGAGACAGAGUCACACUAUGUAGCCCUGGCUGGCCUGGAACUAGUUAUGUAGAUGAGGCUGGCCUCAAACUCAGAGAGAUCUGCCCAUCUCUGCCUCCCGGAUGCUGGAAUGAAAUGCUAUGGUACCACAUCUGGCUGACUUCUAUACUCUGAUCUGCUGGCCUGGGAGCUUUGCCGGCUCUGGACAGGUGCCCAUCUCCAAAGGCAGACCACUCCCCAGAGCUGGCAGACCCACAGGGUCGCCUACCCUGGCCUGCAGGGCAUGUGGCUCUCGAGGGUCAGCUUUGUCUCACUGAACCCUGGACCUUCUAAUGAACAGGGUAAAUGCAUCCUGACCACAGUCAGGACCUACCAUCCAAGAGCUCUUCCUGGAUCCUGCCACCUUUGUGGUCACUGGUCAAUGGCCUGAGGCCAAGCUGUAUGUGGUGGUUUGAAGAGGAAUGGCCCCCGUGCGCUCAUGUAUUUCAAUGUUUGAUUCCCGGCUGGUGGACUGUCGUGGAAGAAUCUGGAAAUGCGGCCUUGUUGGAGAAGGUAUGUCACUGGGGUGGGCUGUGAGGUUUCAAAAGCCAGACCCACUCUCUCCCUGCUUUCUGCCUGCAGAUCAGAAUGUCGCUCUUAGCUACUGCUCCUGUGCCAUGCCUGCCUGCUGCUACGCUCCCCGCCAUGCUGUUCUGAAGCUGUAACCGACCCCCGACCCCCCGAAUAAAUGCUUUCUUCUUUAA
RNA transcript from Alexandromys fortis (reed vole), 3576 nucleotides. RefSeq lists it as uncharacterized. The record is from RefSeq and is a predicted model, not a curated record. The transcript is spliced from 2 exons. NCBI's taxonomy places the organism in Eukaryota, Metazoa, Chordata, Mammalia, Rodentia, Cricetidae.